CAGCCGUAAACUAUGCGCGUUAGGUGUACUGGUGACCACGAGUCACCGGGGUGCCGAAGGGAAACCGUGAAACGUGCCGCCUGGGAAGUACGGUCGCAAGGCUGAAACUUAAAGGGAAUUGGGCGGGGGAGCACCACAACGGGUGGAGCCUGCGGUUUAAUUGGACUCAACGCCGGAAAUCUCACCGGAUAGGACAGACAUAUGAUAGUCGGGCUGAAGACUCUACUUGAUGAUCUGAGAGGUGGUGCAUGGCGUCAGUGACU
This 263-nucleotide ribosomal RNA is filed under the name uncultured archaeon. RNAcentral's name for it is "partial 16S ribosomal RNA". It matches the Rfam family "Archaeal small subunit ribosomal RNA", at positions 748 to 1008 of the family's 1478-position model. The record is from RNAcentral.